UAUUGGCUCAAGUAAUAAAUCAUACAGCUGGGAAGGACAGUACCAUUACCACCUUACUUAUUACCCAACCAACUUUAAAUUUUGAUACCUAAUUUGUUUGUUUUGGUGAUGUAUGUGUUGAUAGAACAUGUGGGGGAUAAGGCGCAUCCUUAUGCACAUGGUGCUGCAGUAAUUUGGCCCCACGAAUUGAAUAAAGUCAC
This 200-nucleotide long non-coding RNA is filed under the name Salvia miltiorrhiza (redroot sage). Its description in RNAcentral is "long non-coding RNA (SMIL_LNC003226)". Lineage: Eukaryota; Viridiplantae; Streptophyta; Magnoliopsida; Lamiales; Lamiaceae. The record is from RNAcentral.